AUUGAACGCUGGAGGCAGGCCUAACACAUGCAAGUCGAACGAGUGGCGGACGGGAGAAGAAUGUCUGGGAAACUGCCUGAGGGAGGGGGAUAAACACUGGAAACGUUCGCUAAUACAGCCUACAAUCGGAGUUGCCCCGAUGGGACGAGCUAGUAGGUGGGGUAACGGCUCACCUAGGCGACGAUCCCUAGCUGGUCUGAGAGGAUGACAAGCGACACGGGAACUGAGACACGGUCCAGACGCCUACGGGAGGCAGCAGUGGGGAAUAUUGCACAAUGGGAGCAAGCCUGAUGCAGCCAUGCCGCGUGUAUGCAGAAGGCCUUCGGGUUGUAAAGUACUGUCAGCCGGGAGGCGUUACCCGCAGAAGAAGCACCGGCUAACUCCGUGCCAGCAGCCGCGGUAAUAC
Molecule: ribosomal RNA, 406 nt
Filed under: uncultured bacterium
Lineage: Bacteria
Description: partial 16S ribosomal RNA
Rfam family: Bacterial small subunit ribosomal RNA
Source: RNAcentral